Theobroma cacao (cacao) is the source of this 1013-nucleotide non-coding RNA. NCBI's taxonomy places the organism in Eukaryota, Viridiplantae, Streptophyta, Magnoliopsida, Malvales, Malvaceae. The record is from RefSeq and is a predicted model, not a curated record.
UAAGAUUUAUGGGUAGUUUAAUAUUGUGCAUAUUUUGAAUGAAAAAUAUGCAAGUUGCUUAAGGAAUUUUUAAUUAAGUUGCUACCCAUACAAAUGUGUGAUUAACUAUACUGAGUUUAAAUUGUUGCUAGGAAAGUUUGUCGUGGAGGCGUGUCGAACGAAGUAUGUGACCGACAAAUAGGAAUAAUUAUAUAUGCGUACGAAUCAAUAGUGAAGUAAUAUCCCAUUAUUAUGAGGCUUGUUCGAGACUUGACGGGGUCUUUUUCGGAAGUCUUGGACGCCGGCAGCGAUUGGGGAAAGGUCAUUGCAACCGGGUCGUGACAAUUUGUUAGCACAAACUUUGGCUUGGGAAUUCACACACUCUUAGUGAAGAGAUUUCAGUAAAUCACUAUGUGGAUCACCAUUAGAUGCAAGACAACUGUGCUGUUAUGAUUUGAUAAGUCCUAGUUGGUGUACAAAAGCUAAAAAAGAAAACAAAAAGAGGACUCCACUAAAAAACUAGACUUUCAAGAAAUGUAUAAUUUUGCAUUAUUAUAGAAGUAUAAUGAAGAUUCAUCCUUUCAACCAGAAUUCAAUCCACAUGCUUUGACAAAAGUAAUUGGAAGGAUGGAGACUACAUGCGCUCGCGUGUAUGGGUUUGGUAUUCAGGUGCCUGUUGCAACUCUACUUAGUGGAACACAAAGCAAUGCAGUAAUAUCUGAGUCAAAGUGUGGUCCUAUCAAUUCAAACACUACUAAUUCUAUAAUUGUAUUAGAAGAAAAAGUGAAAAGUCUAUCAACAAACCUGGGUAAGAUACAUGAGGAAAUUAAGGAGAAUAAUGCCAAUUUAAUGACAAACAUGAAGGAAGCAAUGGCAGAAAUUAUGAGUGAAUUUAUGGCACUUAUGGAAGCAAUGAUCGUGAGUAAUGCACUUUUAAAACAAGGAAAUGUGGGUACUUUAACCUCAAAUCUUGGCAAGUAUGAAUGCAACAUUUCAUGAUAUGAUGUCUCUUUUCCAUUGUUGGACUUGGAAUC